This 1360-nucleotide ribosomal RNA is filed under the name Bacillus sp. (in: firmicutes). Its description in RNAcentral is "Bacillus sp. (in: Bacteria) partial 16S ribosomal RNA". It matches the Rfam family "Bacterial small subunit ribosomal RNA", at positions 70 to 1399 of the family's 1533-position model. Lineage: Bacteria; Bacillati; Bacillota; Bacilli; Caryophanales; Bacillaceae. The record is from RNAcentral.
AUGGAUUAAGAGGGUGUUAUGAUGAUGUUGGCGGGCGGGGGGGGGAGUACGACGGGGGUCUGCUGACAAGACUGCUGGGAUACCGGGAAACCGGGGGGGAUACUGGAGGACAUUUUGUUGUGCAUGGUGGUUAGUUGUUGGGNGGCGGCGGCGGUUGUCAAUUCUGGGUGGCGCGGYGUAGUAGUUGGUAGGUGGGGAGGUGGCGGAUCAACACGGCGAUGCGGCGUAGCCGAGAGGGGGGGGUGGGCGGCACCGGGGGGGAGGAGCGGCGGAGACGCCUACGGGGGGCGGCAGUAGGGGGGCUUCCGCAAUGAUGGAAGGUCGGAUGGAGGAGCGCCGCGGGGGUGGUGAAGGCGGCUGGGGGGUAGUACACUGUUGUUGUUAGGGAAGAAGAGCUGGUUGUUGAGGUUGGUGGCUUGUUGGCGGUUAAUACAAAGAGCGGGGUGGAUAACGUGGUGCCACCCGCCGGGGUACUUAGGUGGUGGCCUUUAUCGGAAAUUAUUGGUGGUAAAGCGCGCGCCGGAGGUUUCUUAAUGUUUGAUGUUAAAGCCCCGCGGCUCACCCGCGGAGGGUGAUUGGAAAUCUGGGAAAAUUCUGUGCAAAAAAGGAAACGUGGACUUCCCAUGUGUAGUAGGUGAAAUGUUGGAGAGAUUUGGAGAAACACCAUUGGCAAAGGGCGGCUUUCUGUUCUUUAACACACCCUGAGGGGCAUAAGAGANGGGGAGCACACGGACUUAGAACCCAUGGUCGUCCACCACUCGUAAAAAAUAGAGUGGUAAGUGUUAGAAGGGUUUCCUCCUUUAGUGGUGAAGAUAACCCAUUUANCACUCCCCCCCCGGAGAUACGGCCCCAGAGCGGUAAAAAUCAAUUAGAUAUAGGCGGGGCCCCCCCUUGGGGGAAGCAUCUGUUUAUUUAAUUCGAAGGCGAACAACUCUUCCCGGGUUUUUACUUCCUUUCUAAAACCCCUAUUAGGGGUUCGCCUUUGAGGAGCAGAGUGACAGGUGGUGCAUGGUUGUUGUCAGCUCGUGUCGUGAGAUGUUGGGUUAAGUCCCGCAACGAGCGCAACCCUUGAUUUUUGUUGCCAUCAUUAAGUUUGGCACUCUAAGGUGAGGCCGGUGACAAACCGGAGAAGGUGGGAUGGGGGAGUCAAUCAUCAUGCCUCCUUUGAACUGGGCUACACACGUGUACAAUGCAAGACGUACAAGAGCUGCAAGACCGCGAGGUGGAGCGUAAUUCAUAAAACCGUUCUCAGUUCGGGAUGUAGGUUGCAACUUGCCUACAUGAAGCAGGAAUCGCUAGUAAUUGCGGAUCAGCAUGCCGCGGGGAAUACGUUCCCGGGCUUGUACUACACCGCCCGUCA